This is a long non-coding RNA of Zingiber officinale, 3295 nucleotides long. RefSeq lists it as uncharacterized. The record is from RefSeq and is a predicted model, not a curated record. The transcript has 2 exons. Lineage: Eukaryota; Viridiplantae; Streptophyta; Magnoliopsida; Zingiberales; Zingiberaceae.
CUAGAACAUGCUUAGUUUCUUUUCAAAGUCACAAUAACAUUUGUGUGCAUGGAAAUUGAGGAUUUUGUCAAUUUUGUUCCCUUAAUACUUUCCAAUUCCUUUCCUCACAAUUUUCUUUAUACAUUCUCAUCUAGUACUUUAAUCCUUGAUCAUCUUUGCUUGUCAUUCUUUAAUUGAGAGUGUUGGUUGAAUUCUUGAUGAGUUAGAUUGUGCAAGAUGACAAGGUUAUAAGUGUGGGGGAGGAUUUUGGACAAAAAUUAGAGGGCUUGAAGGAUUUUUGAUGGCUUCAUGAAGGUUGCUUUUUGACUUUCGGGAAUGAAAUAGAAGUGACAAGAGUUCUUCAUGUCUAUGAUUUGCUGCAAAACCUGGAAUUUUUCAGUUGUACUAUUGUUUGAUGCUGAAUUUACUACAGUAGACUGCUGUAGGUGUUCAAUGAAGCUUCAUUUGGUUUUCCAAUAAUGCAAUAGAGAUGCACAUAUUCAGUUAAGUGAUAAUGAGUGCUAAUCUGAUAAGAGAAAAAAUAUAUAGCCCUUGAAACUGUGAAGUAUCAGAAUUGUGUAACACUUCCUUGAAUCGAUUGCAAGUGCUCUGAAUUUAUAUGUGGCAAUUUGGAAAUGUAAACAAGCUAGUGUAGGGCUCAACUCAAUACAAAGCAGGAUGUUUGAAUUCUUAUAAGGGGCAGAUAUUUGUGAAGCUGAUUGCUGAAAUAGAAUUCCAGUUUUGUGCCAAGACAGUUUGCUGUUUCUGGACAGCAAUAAUAAAAAUUCAGUUCUUAAUAUAAUUUUUAUAGCACAACUCAAACCUAUUGGAGAUUAGUUGAAUUCUGAGAUGCAGCAAUACUUAAUCAGUUCAGAAUCUGAUUUCUUGAAUUUGAAAACUUCAAUGCCUUGCUGUCUUUAGAUUCGAUUUCCAAGAACUGGUUGAAAAUGCUUUCCUGUUGCAAGUUUCUAAACAGAAAGAAUCUAACUGAAUUUGAUGUAUCAAUGUUGACAUGUUGCGGGCCAAGCUUUUGUGUCAAGUUUCUGAUAAGUGGACAGAAUCAGACACAAAUUUAAAAAACCUUGUAGCUAGGAAAGUUGUUGCAAACUCUUGAAGUUUAACUGAAUUUGAUUGCUGAAUUGCUAAAAUUUUGUGCAAGCUGCAGGAUUAAAAUCAGAGUGCUUGAUACAAGUUUGAUGCCAAUAUCAAAUGAGAUGCUGGUAUCUGCACAUUAAAUAGAAUUUCUAUUCUGUGAAACUGGGAAAUUUCAGAACUGAGAAGGAGAGCCGGGCUAACUUCCGAAUUCCUGAAUUCAGUUUCCUGCUCCGUUGAAUCUGAAAUUGCGUAACUCGACAGAAUUAUAAGAAACAAAAGGAAGCUGAUUUCUGAUACCAGUUGCUGAGAUUUCUCAUUUCUUGUUUGUGCAGAUUGCAGAAUCAGAAAUCUGAGGCUGCUGUUGGAGUUGCCUGGUGUACAAAUUUUCUUGGACCAGAUUUCCACUGUAAAGCUUAGCUUUUGUGUUAAAAGAAUUCAAGAAAUGGAAGGGAAUGAGCAAAGUGGAUAAAUUUUGAAAAUGCAGAAUUCUGAAGAACAAGAAAUGUUGCAUCACUGUGCCAAGUUAGGAAAUGAAUUAUAACUAGCUAGAGUUGUUGAAAUCUGAAAGCUUUUGAGUAUACUUUGAUAAGGUUCUUAAGUAGCAAGAUGAAGUAGCAUUGAGAUUUUUAGUGGCUAAACAAGGCAAUGUUGAUACAAAGUCAUGAAUCUGUACAUGAAUCCAGAACUGCAUUUAGCCAUGCUACAUGAUGUUAAACUGGGCAAUUGAGCAAAAAUGUGAUCAAGCCUUACUCUAAAUCUAAUGCAAAGAGGAAUAAAUGAGAAAUUUUAGUCACUUAUUCUGAAUUCUGAAAUCAGAUUUUGUGGUGUAAAUCUGUGAUUUGUGAAGCUCUACAUCUUUCAAGACUUUUGUGUGCAAAACCUAUAGGUUGUGAGGAAUCGAAAUGCUGUUAUUAAGCAUGGAAAACAACCUGCUGAAAAUAAGUUGUUACGAAUUAUAACAUGUGAUGUUGAAUGAAGUUGAAUCUAGAAUUUGACACCAUGCACCUUUGGCAGCUGCAAAUUCUUCUAAUUUUCUGAAACUGUAUCGUUUCAUUGCAGUGCUAAGAGUAAUCAAUAAGGAAGAGUUCAAGUUUAUGUCCAGUAAACCAGAACCCUGCGGUAAUGAAAUUUGCAAGUGAUGUAUCAAUUUCUUCAAGACUGUGCCAAAUUUAGAUUCUGAAUUAUCAAAAAGAUGCAGAAAUGAAGAAUGUUAUAAGUUUCAUCAGUAAGGAAAUAUACAAGAAAUGUGCUAAAAUCAGAUAUGAAACUUUGGCAGGAAGUGAUGUUCCAAAAGAACUUGCAGAAUUUGGAAUUGGCAACCACACUCUAGUUUCGAAUUUGAAUCUGGACAUCAACUCUUAUUGCAAUUCUCAAGUGAAAUUGCAAGAGUUCAUUGCACUACUAGUAACUAGAGUUUGUUGUAAGCAGAAUUGAAGUGACUGUUUGAGAUUUUGAAUUUCUGUAUUUGACUGCAAGGUUACAAUCAACAGCAGUGUUUGUAAACUGUCCAAUUCUAUUCAGUAAAUUUGAUAGCAGAAAAUGAAAUGAAAAGAAGAAAAUCAGAGAAUUUGAUUUUUGCAUCUUGUUGCUGGAAUUCUGGAGCAAAAGUAACAAGACAGUGAUACAAAGAAUAUGUAUCAAAUUAAAGACUAACAAAGACCAUUUGAUCAGCAAAGGGAACCUGAACUUUAUCUUUAUUUUUGGAAUUGAAAUAUCAGAACUGAAUUACAAAGUUUUCUGACAAUUGCAGAAUUUCUACUCCAAAUCUGCUUUUAAGAGUUUCUGUUAUAACAAAUUGCUAGGAUAAAUUUGCUGAAAAAUGUUAUCUGCUAUAAAUUUGCAGAAAUUUGGUUUGCUGAACAUUGAUUGCUUUGGACAGUUUCAAGGUUCUGAGAUCUGAAGUAUCAACCUUUGGUGUUUCUUUCUUUUCAUGUUAGCCUUAAUUCUGUGAAUGCAGAAUUCUGAAGUUGCUGUUGUUGUUAAGGAUUUAAAGAGGUGAUUUGCUGGGUUACUGCAGGGCUCAGUUUGAAUCCUUAUCUAUGUAAUCGAAAGAUAUUUCUGGUGAUUGUUUCUGUCCAAAGUUUGAGGUCGCUCAUUAGAAGGAAGGGAAGUGACAAUAACAAUUAACAGCUUCUUGGUUAUUGAUAAACUCAAAAUUUGAAGUUGGCCAGUUGCACAUCAAAGCUGGAAUCAGUGACUUGCUGGAAUUUUUGAAAACCAC